GUUUUGAUUUUGGCUUUGAAGAGAGAAAUGGAGUCUGUGCUGCACAGCAACUGAAUGCUCUGCUCCCCGCAGUGAUGAGGCAGGCAGGAGGUACAGAGAAGAUGAGGAUCGAAGGAUGCCACCGCAUCUUGCAAUCUGUACAAUGUCGGACAGCAGCCGUGGGAUCUGCUGCAAGACUGGUGUAACGUGUUGGACGGAUCCUGAAAAUGGCAAGAGAUGACGUGCGCUCCAGUCAUCUACACUGGAGCCUAUGGCAGGUGUAUAAAGUCAGCAAUAUGAUGGCCAACCGGGACCUGGAUGCAACACAUAUACGCAGACGUCACCAGUGCUCUCGCCACAACGGACGACAUGACAAGUGUGUGCUCUCCCUCAGAGGAAUUCAACAUUCAGUAACAAGACGGUUGGUCUUCUUGGAAAAAGUAGAAGGAUAAAAUCUGACUUCAUGAAGGCAGAUGUAACACACAGGCUCUACCUCAACUGACCAACAAAGAAGGACAGAAGAGGCAAUACUGUUUGCCUGUGUAGGUUGUCACGACACGGCGAGACGCAAGGUGCAUUCAAACACAGUCAGACGUUUCAAUACCAAACAGAAAAAGUCCCUCGAUGUAUGAGUGAACAUAAAGAGCUUUAACUGUAAAUAAUUUGGGCUUUCUCUCAUUCAAUACAAGAUGACCUAUACCAAGAACAACAAUGGGGGGUGAGAUGACUUUUUUUUACUGAAUUAUAAUCAAUAUUCCAUUUUUUCAUAUUGUCAGAUUUUUUUCUCUUUUUUUUUUGUGGGAACUCUUAUAAUAUUUGAUUGGUCGCUACAUGUGCGACAUUGCAAUGGCGUUCACUUGUGAUGCAAAUCGCAGCAAAACCAAUUGCUGACGAACCCCGCACAAUGUGGAGUAGUUCCGUCUGUCGCUCGGCGUGCCUCACUUUACUUGUUUGCUUUUGUGGUACCACACCCAGUGAUGCCAUAGAGGAAUCUAUGAUUCAACACCAGUCUCGUACUGACGCAUUCUUUAUUCCAACAAUGUCAGAAUUGCAGUCAUCUGCCCCCGUCAUCAUCAAGACCUUCAUCACUGUAGUUCAGUGAUUGAGUGAUGGCUCCAUUCAGCAAACUGCCAAUACCGGUUGUACUCACAGGCUAAAAUUGCACGCUAUUUUCUCAUUAGUGUAAUACUGAACUGCUAAAGUAGUGUACGUGUGCGUGUGUGUGUGCGCGCGUGCCGUGACUAACUCCAGCAAGCCAUAAGGGACAACAUCUGAAAUCAUACUUCACUGUGGAGGAGGGUGAUGAUGCUGUGGGGGCAUAUAUGCCACUUUUCUACUCAUGUUUGCUUUAAAUAAGCAAGAAAGGUCACACCGCCUACAAAAAAUAGCAGAUCUUAUGAUAAAGCUCGAGUUUGAGACAUGUACAGGUAGGAAGAAGAACCAAGAUACCGGUCCAGACAGAAAAGAUGAAACUUUUUGCACUAAAGUUUUGGACUGGCCAACGUUCUGCACCACCUCACGUGCGUUGAGUUCUGAAGCCUCAGCCACCACAAGCAAGUGCAUCCAAGCCACCGGCUCGGCACAGCACGCUUGUAAAAUUCACUUCUCGGUGACCCAUUUUUAGUUUGGAAGGCUACCAUAUCAGCACUUGGGGAUGUGCGUGUGAUUCACCAAUGCUAACGUUUACAUCAUGUUCCCAACAGCAUAGCAUCACUGUUCCAGGUUACCAUAGACAAAACAGGAUGGUCAUUAAAAUAUAAACGGAGACGGGAGGAGCAAAUGUGCCAAACAGUGAAUGCCAUGGAUGCCCAGCAAGAUUUGUUUUGUUCUGUUGCCCCCCCUCCCCCCACCGUCCCCCCGCCCCAUCCAUCAACAUGCUGCGGAUGUGAAAAGAAAAGAAAACACACAUUAACUUUGAUCACAAGUAACGCUGGACUUAUGCUGCUUUAGAUGUGAGUCUGGUUACUUGAUGUAACUUUUGGGAC
Hippocampus zosterae (dwarf seahorse) is the source of this 1964-nucleotide long non-coding RNA. RefSeq lists it as uncharacterized. The transcript is spliced from 3 exons. The record is from RefSeq and is a predicted model, not a curated record. Lineage: Eukaryota; Metazoa; Chordata; Actinopteri; Syngnathiformes; Syngnathidae.